This 1069-nucleotide long non-coding RNA is filed under the name Anolis carolinensis (green anole). RNAcentral's name for it is "lncRNA (ENSACAG00000031992.2)". The record is from RNAcentral. Lineage: Eukaryota; Metazoa; Chordata; Lepidosauria; Squamata; Anolidae.
CAGAGCUCUGGAAAGUUCCUUUGGAGGGGCUUACAGUUUCCAUACAUACAUAAUAUUUUGUGCAUGCAGCAAAGUUUAAGUAGAUUGACCACUCAGAAAGCAAAGAUGUCACUUGCUCAAGGUGAAUCUACACAGUGCUUUUUCAUUAGAUGACUCAAGAUUUAAUAGUAGUCAGCACAAUAGCUGAGAAAAACAGUCUGCUUUGCUAGGACUGUCUUCUGAAGUGUUAAAGCUUUACCUUGCCAAAUCCCUUUAAGGCAUUUGGCUGCCACAGGGCUGAUCUGCCUCUGCUCUGACGUCAUGGACUCAUAGAGUCUAAAAGAGCCAUCCAGUUCAACCCCACAAUCAAAGCAUUCCUGGCAGACGGCCAUCCAGUCUCUGCUUUUAAAACUCCAGAAAAGGCAACUUCACUAUCCUCCAAGAUUGGGACAGUUGGAAGGUAUACAAGGGAGGCAACUCCUGGAAUAGUAAUUCCUGGAACUGGAAGACCACAUUCCUGGAACUGGAAGACUACAUUCUCCCAUGGAUUUUGGAGGACUGCAUAUUCUUGUUUUAGACCUUUCUCCUACUCACUAAAUCUCCUUCCUAUUCCAACACAAAUAACAGUUAUAGCAACAUCUAGUUCUAGCUGAGUGACACAUAAUGGUGUCAGUCAGCUGGAACUAAAUACAAUUUAAUCAAUGGACUAAGAAUUGUGAUUCAGAUUGAAAGCAACCCCGGCUAACGCUAGUAUAUAGUGCAUGCAAAAUGUAUUUGCAACUGUGUGUUUACUCACUGGUGUUUGGGUGUAUUUGUUAAUCACAUGCAACACAAUCCAAAAAUCAGGAUUCUCUAUAGGAAGGAUGCUUCCACUUGCAAACUAUUUGAAUGAGAAAAAGAACACCCCAUAGAAAUUUCUUUUAAAAUGCCUUGGCCCAUGCUUCCUAUUAAUUCUACACCAUCCCACUUUUUAAAAAAAUGUCCUAAUUCAUCUCUCUUCAAAGUGGAAAACUAGGAUGGAUAACUUUAUGGGAGUAACAUCUUUGUAAAUGAAUAUAGGCAAUCUAUUGGAUCGUUUCAUGAUAUCUAU